Molecule: transfer RNA, 87 nt
Filed under: Parvularculaceae bacterium
Lineage: Bacteria; Pseudomonadati; Pseudomonadota; Alphaproteobacteria; Parvularculales; Parvularculaceae
Description: tRNA-Leu
Rfam family: tRNA
About the family: Transfer RNA (tRNA) molecules are approximately 80 nucleotides in length. Their secondary structure includes four short double-helical elements and three loops (D, anti-codon, and T loops). Further hydrogen bonds mediate the characteristic L-shaped molecular structure. tRNAs have two regions of fundamental functional importance: the anti-codon, which is responsible for specific mRNA codon recognition, and the 3' end, to which the tRNAs corresponding amino acid is attached (by aminoacyl-tRNA synthetases). tRNAs cope with the degeneracy of the genetic code in two manners: having more than one tRNA (with a specific anti-codon) for a particular amino acid; and 'wobble' base-pairing, i.e. permitting non-standard base-pairing at the 3rd anti-codon position.
Source: RNAcentral
GCGGGCGUGGCGGAACCGGUAGACGCAACGGACUUAAAAUCCGUCGGCAGAAAUGCUGUGGGGGUUCGAGUCCCCCCGCCCGCACCA